AUGGGAGAUGGUGGCUGGUUCCGGUGGCGUGGUCGGGUUGAAUACGGAUUGUGGAGCAAGAUUGUGAUGUGGAUUGUGUCUAAAGAAGGGGCUGGAUUGACACACUUCAGAGCUGAUCACGAUUGGGGUUUGGCAUCUCAGAAGGCAACAUCAAGGCAGCAUCUCAGGAAACAUACAAAUCCAGAAGGCAACACGAAAGUGGAAGAGAUAAAGAUAUCAAGGCAACACGAAAGUGGAAGAGAUAAAGAUAUCAAGGCAACACGAGAGAAGGAGAAGCAGAAACAAAUCAUAGGCAAAGGGACAUAA
Molecule: non-coding RNA, 306 nt
Organism: Vicia faba (fava bean)
Lineage: Eukaryota; Viridiplantae; Streptophyta; Magnoliopsida; Fabales; Fabaceae
Source: the annotation of a GenBank genome assembly